UACGGAGGGGGCUAGCGUUGUUCGGAAUUACUGGGCGUAAAGCGCACGUAGGCGGCUUUGUAAGUUAGAGGUGAAAGCCCAGGGCUUAACCCUGGAAUUGCCUUUAAGACUGCAUCGCUUGAACACGGGAGAGGUGAGUGGAAUUCCGAGUGUAGAGGUGAAAUUCGUAGAUAUUCGGAAGAACACCAGUGGCGAAGGCGGCUCACUGGACCGUUGUUGACGCUGAGGUGCGAAAGCGUGGGGAGCAAACAGG
This 253-nucleotide ribosomal RNA is filed under the name uncultured bacterium. RNAcentral describes it as "partial 16S ribosomal RNA". It matches the Rfam family "Bacterial small subunit ribosomal RNA", at positions 524 to 776 of the family's 1533-position model. The record is from RNAcentral.